RNAcentral lists this ribosomal RNA (455 nucleotides) under uncultured bacterium. Its description in RNAcentral is "bacterial SSU rRNA". It matches the Rfam family "Bacterial small subunit ribosomal RNA", at positions 340 to 786 of the family's 1533-position model. The record is from RNAcentral.
UACGGAAGGCAGCAGUGGGGAAUAUUGCACAAUGAGCGAAAGCCUGAUGCAGCUAUGCCGCGUGUAUGAAGAAGGCCUUAGGGUUGUAAAGUACUUUCAUCGGGGAGGAAAAAACAAAACUAAUAAUUUUAUUUCUUGACGUUACCCGAAAAAGAAGCACCGGCUAACUCCGUGCCAGCAGCCGCGGUAAUACGGAGGGUGCUAGCGUUAAUCAGAAUUACUGGGCGUAAAGAGCACGUAGGUGGUUUUUUAAGUCAGAUGUGAAAUCCCUGGGCUUAACCUAGGAACUGCAUUUUGAAACUGAAAUACUAGAGUAUCGUAGAGGGAGGUAGAAUUCUAGGUGUAGCGGUGAAAUGCGUAGAUAUCUGGAGGAAUACCUGUGGCGAAAGCGGCCUCCUAAACGAAUACUGACACUGAGGUGCGAAAGCGUGGGGAGCAAACAGGGAUUAGAUACC